UACGGGGGGGGCAAGCGUUGCUCGGAAUUACUGGGCGUAAAGGGCUCGUAGGCGGCCACCUAAGUCCGACGUGAAAUCCCCAGGCUUAACCUGGGAACUGCGUCGGAUACUGGAUGGCUUGAAUCCGGGAGAGGGAUGCGGAAUUCCAGGUGUAGCGGUGAAAUGCGUAGAUAUCGGGAGGAACACCAGUGGCGAAGGCGACUUCCUGGCCUGUUCUUGACGCUGAGGCGCGAAAGCUAGGGGAGCAAACGGG
RNAcentral lists this ribosomal RNA (253 nucleotides) under uncultured bacterium. Its description in RNAcentral is "partial 16S ribosomal RNA". It matches the Rfam family "Bacterial small subunit ribosomal RNA", at positions 524 to 776 of the family's 1533-position model. The record is from RNAcentral.